Molecule: ribosomal RNA, 110 nt
Filed under: Typhonium trilobatum
Lineage: Eukaryota; Viridiplantae; Streptophyta; Magnoliopsida; Alismatales; Araceae
Description: partial 5.8S ribosomal RNA
Rfam family: 5.8S ribosomal RNA
About the family: 5.8S ribosomal RNA (5.8S rRNA) is a component of the large subunit of the eukaryotic ribosome. It is transcribed by RNA polymerase I as part of the 45S precursor that also contains 18S and 28S rRNA.
Source: RNAcentral
GAAAUGCGAUACGUGGUGUGAAUUGCAGAAUCCCGUGAACCAUCGAAUCUUUGAACGCAAGUUGCGCCCGAGGCCACUAGGCCGAGGGCACGCCUGCCUGGGCGUCACGC